This 253-nucleotide ribosomal RNA is filed under the name uncultured bacterium. RNAcentral describes it as "partial 16S ribosomal RNA". It matches the Rfam family "Bacterial small subunit ribosomal RNA", at positions 524 to 776 of the family's 1533-position model. The record is from RNAcentral.
UACAGAGGUCCCAAGCGUUGUUCGGAUUCAUUGGGCGUAAAGGGUGCGUAGGCGGCGCGGUAAGUCGGGUGUGAAAUCUCGGGGCUUAACUCCGAAACUGCAUUCGAUACUGCCGUGCUUGAGGACUGGAGAGGAGACUGGAAUUUACGGUGUAGCGGUGAAAUGCGUAGAUAUCGUAAGGAAGACCAGUGGCGAAGGCGGGUCUCUGGACAGUUCCUGACGCUGAGGCACGAAGUCCAGGGGAGCAAACGGG